This 546-nucleotide ribosomal RNA is filed under the name uncultured Glomeromycotina. Its description in RNAcentral is "SSU rRNA". It matches the Rfam family "Eukaryotic small subunit ribosomal RNA", at positions 548 to 1098 of the family's 1831-position model. The record is from RNAcentral. Lineage: Eukaryota; Fungi; Glomeromycota.
UUGGAGGGCAAGUCUGGUGCCAGCAGCCGCGGUAAUUCCAGCUCCAAUAGCGUAUAUUAAAGUUGUUGCAGUUAAAAAGCUCGUAGUUGAAUUUCGGGAUCAGAGUGUCGGUCGUGCCUCGGUACGUACUGGUAUUAUUGGUUCCUACCUUCUGAAGAACCGCGAUGUCAUUAAUUUGGUGUCGUGGGGAAUCAGGACUGUUACUUUGAAAAAAUUAGAGUGUUUAAAGCAGGCUUACGCUUGAAUACAUUAGCAUGGAAUAAUGAAAUAGGACGUUUGAUUCUAUUUUGUUGGUUUCUAGGAUUGACGUAAUGAUUAAUAGGGAUAGUUGGGGGCAUUAGUAUUCAAUUGUCAGAGGUGAAAUUCUUGGAUUUAUUGAAGACUAACUACUGCGAAAGCAUUUGCCAAGGAUGUUUUCAUUAAUCAAGAACGAAAGUUAGGGGAUCGAAGACGAUCAGAUCCCGUCGUAGUCUUAACCAUAAACUAUGCCGACUAGGGAUCGGAUGAUGUUAAUUUAUAAAUGACUCAUUCGCGCCUUACGGAAAC